RNAcentral lists this ribosomal RNA (65 nucleotides) under Paenibacillus sp. EKM206P. RNAcentral's name for it is "partial 16S ribosomal RNA". It matches the Rfam family "Bacterial small subunit ribosomal RNA", at positions 1 to 64 of the family's 1533-position model. Lineage: Bacteria; Bacillati; Bacillota; Bacilli; Caryophanales; Paenibacillaceae. The record is from RNAcentral.
UUUAAUGGAGAGUUUGAUCCUGGCUCAGGACGAACGCUGGCGGCGUGCCUAAUACAUGCAAGUCG